GACGAACGCUGGCGGCGUGCCUAAUACAUGCAAGUCGAGCGGAUUAAGUUAGAAGCUUGCUUCUAACUUGGUUAGCGGCGGACGGGUGAGUAACACGUAGGUAACCUGCCUGUAAGCUCGGGAUAACUAUCGGAAACGGUAGCUAAGACCGAAUAAUUGAUUCUGGUGCAUGCCGGAAUCAUGAAACGCGGAGCAAUCUGUGGCUUAUAGAUGGGCCUGCGGCGCAUUAGCUAGUAGGUGAGGUAACGGCUCACCUAGGCGACGAUGCGUAGCCGACCUGAGAGGGUGAACGGCCACACUGGGACUGAGACACGGCCCAGACUCCUACGGGUGGCUG
Molecule: ribosomal RNA, 337 nt
Filed under: uncultured Bacillota bacterium
Lineage: Bacteria; Bacillati; Bacillota
Description: bacterial SSU rRNA
Rfam family: Bacterial small subunit ribosomal RNA
Source: RNAcentral